Long non-coding RNA from Aricia agestis (brown argus), 133 nucleotides. RefSeq lists it as uncharacterized. The transcript is spliced from 3 exons. NCBI's taxonomy places the organism in Eukaryota, Metazoa, Arthropoda, Insecta, Lepidoptera, Lycaenidae. The record is from RefSeq and is a predicted model, not a curated record.
GGCGCGGCGGCGCGCGCCGUACUAAUGCGAAAGUGGUACUCGCGCCCAACUUGCGUAGAUACGCCCGUUUGUUUGAAGUCGAGGUACUCCUUAGUUCAGUCUACUCUGGUUUCAGUCUUCUGUAGGUAUAAGU